Molecule: non-coding RNA, 77 nt
Organism: Haliscomenobacter hydrossis DSM 1100
Lineage: Bacteria; Pseudomonadati; Bacteroidota; Saprospiria; Saprospirales; Haliscomenobacteraceae
Source: Rfam
GAAAGCCGUAUGCGGGAAAACCGCACGUACGGAUUGACGAGGGGGAGAAGCGGCAGCGCCGCUUCUCUCUACUCUAC